GGGGUUGUGGCUCAGAGGUAGAGUGCUUGCCUAGCACGUAUGUGAUCCUGGGUUCGAUUUUCAGCACUGCA
RNAcentral lists this transfer RNA (71 nucleotides) under Marmota monax (woodchuck). Its description in RNAcentral is "tRNA.Ala". The stretch from base 6 to 66 matches the Rfam family "tRNA", at positions 6 to 65 of the family's 71-position model. From Rfam's summary of the family: Transfer RNA (tRNA) molecules are approximately 80 nucleotides in length. Their secondary structure includes four short double-helical elements and three loops (D, anti-codon, and T loops). Lineage: Eukaryota; Metazoa; Chordata; Mammalia; Rodentia; Sciuridae. The record is from RNAcentral.